GCCUGCUCAGAUUUAUGGGGCAGUCGGGCGUCAGACUCUCGACCUGAAAGGGAUUUGGGCUUUCUUAGUGGUUAGGGAGGUGGUCAGGGGAGCAAUGGUGGACUCUCUCUAAGCACCUAAUACCCAGUACUGGGCCUCUAGUCUGGCACACCCACCUUAUCCUGGUCUCACACAACUCGGACACUCUGGACAUUACCGACAACGGCCCGGUCUGGCGCCGAUAGCCGCAGUGUGGAUGGCAGCAGCACCAAGGUUGGACUCCCCUUACCGACGCCCACACAGCCACAUACCACGCUCCGCUGUGCAGACACCCAGGCACAGGAAGAGCCAACGGAAAAUCUGACCAUGAAGUUUGCCAGGCUGUGGAUCGUCCAGCGCUGCAACCACAGAAAGUCAUUCUCCAUCCAUAUUAAAGCCCUCUCCAUCACUGGUGCCCCUGACAACACAGGAAAUGGAUCCCACCCGACGGCAGACUCAGCCUCCACACUGUUUAUCACCACAAUUAUCCCCCAUUCAUUCACAGGCUUAUAAGACUAGGGGACAUACUGGGAUCUGCUAACGCACUGGAGGAAAGAAUGGAGGGAAGAAAUGGAAGAAGAGCUCAAUAAACAAAUGAAUAUGUAUUCAUGGAGUUGAUGUACUGACAUCCUGUACAAUAUACAGUAUCUGUGACAGAGAAACUGAGUCUUCAUGUUGUAUCAACGUUUAAUCACCAUAAAACACUUCCAAGAGUCAGUAAAGUCAGUCAGUAAAGUCUAACACUGUAAUGAAGGCAUCCAUGUCAAAAAAUGUGUUCCUUUUAAUAACAAUGACCCAUAUGUAUUUAACUUCCAUUGUCCUUCAAGAAUGGCUGAAUAUUUUCUUGUGGUGUACCUGGGUACUGUGUGGUAGUGGCACACCGUACAUUAUCCUGCAUGAGUUAGUGAAAACAAAAGUCUGUUGUGAUUCCAACUCAUGCAUUGUGUUAUGGCAGAAACAUGGCAGAUUCAUUAUCACAACUGUUAAUAUGGUGUCAUAUCUGCCCUUCCGUUUAUUGACGACCCAAUAAACGGUAUCAUAAAUAACAGUAUGUUGUUGAUGU
Long non-coding RNA from Oncorhynchus keta (chum salmon), 1081 nucleotides. RefSeq lists it as uncharacterized. The transcript has 5 exons. Lineage: Eukaryota; Metazoa; Chordata; Actinopteri; Salmoniformes; Salmonidae. The record is from RefSeq and is a predicted model, not a curated record.